Molecule: ribosomal RNA, 524 nt
Filed under: uncultured bacterium
Lineage: Bacteria
Description: partial 16S ribosomal RNA
Rfam family: Bacterial small subunit ribosomal RNA
Source: RNAcentral
GAUGAACGCUGGCGGCGUGCCUAAUACAUGCAAGUCGAGCGCAGGAAGCCGUCUGAACCCUUCGGGGGGACGACGGUGGAAUGAGCGGCGGACGGGUGAGUAACACGUAAAGAACCUGCCCAUAGGUCUGGGAUAACCACGAGAAAUCGGGGCUAAUACCGGAUGUGUCAUCGGACCGCAUGGUCCGCUGAUGAAAGGCGCUCCGGCGUCGCCCAUGGAUGGCUUUGCGGUGCAUUAGCUAGUUGGUGGGGUAACGGCCCACCAAGGCGACGAUGCAUAGCCGACCGGAGAGGGUGAUCGGCCAAACUGGGACUGAGACACGGCCCAGACUCCUACGGGAGGCAGCAGUAGGGAAUCUUCCACAAUGGACGAAAGUCUGAUGGAGCAACGCCGCGUGAACGAUGAAGGCUUUCGGGUCGUAAAGUUCUGUUGUAAGGGAAGAACAAGUGCCGCAGGCAAUGGCAGCACCUUGACGGUACCUUGCGAGAAAGCCACGGCUAACUACGUGCCAGCCGCCGCUGUAA